AAUAGAUACCCUGGUAGUCCACGCCGUAAACGGUGGGCGCUAGGUGUGGGGGACUUUCCACGUCCUCUGUGCCGCAGCUAACGCAUUAAACGCCCCGCCUGGGGAGUACGGCCGCAAGGCUAAAACUCAAAGGAAUUGACGGGGGCUCGCACAAGCGGCGGAGCAUGUGGCUUAAUUCGACGCAACGCGAAGAACCUUGCCAAGGCUUGACAUGCAGGGAAAUCUCGUAGAGAUACGGGGUCCGCAAGGGCUCUGCACAGGUGGUGCAUGGUUGUCGUCAGCUCGUGUCGUGAGAUGUUGGGUUAAGUCCCGCAACGAGCGCAACCCUUGUCCUAUGUUGCCAGCGAGUAAUGUCGGGGACUCAUAGGAGACUGCCGGGGUCAACUCGGAGGAAGGUGGGGAUGACGUCAAAUCAUCAUGCCCCUUAUGUCUUGGGCUGCACACAUGCUACAAUGGUCGGUACAAAGGGCUGCGAGACCGCAAGGUGGAGCGAAUCCCAAAAAGCCGGCCUCAGUUCGGAUUGGGGU
RNAcentral lists this ribosomal RNA (527 nucleotides) under uncultured bacterium. RNAcentral's name for it is "bacterial SSU rRNA". It matches the Rfam family "Bacterial small subunit ribosomal RNA", at positions 777 to 1304 of the family's 1533-position model. The record is from RNAcentral.